This 246-nucleotide ribosomal RNA is filed under the name Triticum aestivum (bread wheat). RNAcentral describes it as "partial small subunit ribosomal RNA". Lineage: Eukaryota; Viridiplantae; Streptophyta; Magnoliopsida; Poales; Poaceae. The record is from RNAcentral.
AUGGCGAGACGUCGAACAAGAGCAGCAACCUCGUCGACAUUCACGUCCCCGGCGAGAAGCGCGAGUACACCAAAACGCUCAAAGGGGUUGGGCUCCACGGCAAGGAGACACAGGAGAUCGUACUGCACCAGCGUACCAGACAAGGCCGACGAGGUGAUGAGCAGGCUCAGGAUGAAGGGCGGCGGCUUGUAUCUGAGCUUCAUCAGAGUUGAUGUGGAGCCCAAGCGCCUCAAAGAUUUCCUGUAG